Non-coding RNA from Phrynosoma platyrhinos (Desert horned lizard), 71 nucleotides. The record is from the annotation of a GenBank genome assembly. NCBI's taxonomy places the organism in Eukaryota, Metazoa, Chordata, Lepidosauria, Squamata, Phrynosomatidae.
GCCAGCAUGGUGUAGUGGUUUGAGUGUUUGACUAUGACUCUGAGACCAGGUUUCCAAUCCCUGCUCUGCCA